CCCUUAGAUGUCCUGGGCCGCACGCGCGCUACACUGAUGCAUUCAACGAGUAAUUAUUCCUUGGCCGAGAGGCCUGGGUAAUCUUUUAAACGUGCAUCGUGAUAGGGAUAGAUUAUUGAAAUUAUUAAUCUUGAACGAGGAAUUCCUAGUAAACGCAGAUCAUCAAUCUGCAUUGAUUACGUCCCUGCCCUUUGUACACACCGCCCGUCGCACCUACCGAUUGGAUGGUCCGGUGAAGCCUCGGGAUUGUGGUUCUUGCCGCUUUAUUGUGGCGUGACCGCGAGAACUUGUCUAAACCUUAUCAUCUAGAGGAAGGUGAAGUCGUAACA
Molecule: ribosomal RNA, 329 nt
Filed under: uncultured eukaryote
Lineage: Eukaryota
Description: partial 18S ribosomal RNA
Rfam family: Eukaryotic small subunit ribosomal RNA
Source: RNAcentral